AGCUCCAAUAGCGUAUAUUUAAGUUGUUGCAGUUAAAAAGCUCGUAGUCGGAUUUCGGCACUCCUUGAUACUGUCCGCCGAAUGGUGUGUACGGUUUCGAGGGUGCUUCCUUCUAGUAAACCUCUCUGCUCUUCAUUGACGUGGAGAGAGUGCACUAGAUAUUUUACUUUGAAAAAAUUAGAGUGUUCAAAGCAGGCCUUCGCUCUGCAUAGCUUAGCAUGGAAUAAUAGAAUAGGACUCGGGUUCUAUUUUGUUGGUUUCUAGGACCGGAGUAAUGAUUAAUAGGGACAGUUGGGGGCAUUCAUAUUCCAUAGUCAGAGGUGAAAUUCUUGGAUUUACGGAAGAUGAACUUCUGCGAAAGCAUCUGCCAAGGAUGUUUUCA
This 382-nucleotide ribosomal RNA is filed under the name uncultured eukaryote. RNAcentral's name for it is "SSU rRNA". It matches the Rfam family "Eukaryotic small subunit ribosomal RNA", at positions 587 to 972 of the family's 1831-position model. The record is from RNAcentral.